GGGGAAGGGUAGCUUGCUACCUGACCUAGCGGCGGACGGGUGAGUAAUGCUUAGGAAUCUGCCUAUUAGUGGGGGACAACAUUCCGAAAGGAAUGCUAAUACCGCAUACGCCCUACGGGGGAAAGCAGGGGAUCUUCGGACCUUGCGCUAAUAGAUGAGCCUAAGUCAGAUUAGCUAGUUGGGGGGGUAAAGGCCUACCAAGGCGACGAUCUGUAGCGGGUCUGAGAGGAUGAUCCGCCACACUGGGACUGAGACACGGCCCAGACUCCUACGGGAGGCAGCAGUGGGGAAUAUUGGACAAUGGGCGAAAGCCUGAUCCAGCCAUGCCGCGUGUGUGAAGAAGGCCUUUUGGUUGUAAAGCACUUUAAGCGAGGAGGAGGCUACUGAGAUUAAUACUCUUGGAUAGUGGACGUUACUCGCAGAAUAAGCACCGGCUAACUCUGUGCCAGCAGCCCGCGGGAAUACAGAGGGUGCGAGCGUCAAUCGGAUUUACUGGGCGU
Molecule: ribosomal RNA, 500 nt
Filed under: uncultured bacterium
Lineage: Bacteria
Description: bacterial SSU rRNA
Rfam family: Bacterial small subunit ribosomal RNA
Source: RNAcentral